This 1850-nucleotide unclassified non-coding RNA is filed under the name Hevea brasiliensis (rubber tree). The record is from RNAcentral. Lineage: Eukaryota; Viridiplantae; Streptophyta; Magnoliopsida; Malpighiales; Euphorbiaceae.
ACUAGUUGUUUGUGGAGAAAGAGAAGAGCAUCAUUGAAGGCUAAUGAAUUAUGAUAUUAAUAUUGAACCGUUUGUUUAUAUUUCAUCCUCAGCACAGACAAUCUUUUCUGAAUGGAAAAUUUCUCAUCCUUUCUUCCUAAUUUAUCUAAGUAGAAUACAAUCUUCUUUAGGGUUUGCAUAACCUCUUCACUCUCAUGGCUCUCUUUCUCUUGAAUAUUCAAAACCCUCUUGAGUAGCUCUAGCAACUCAGCAUCUGCCCUCUUUAAUCUGGUCUGAAUGGAUAUCAAACAGUCCAGAGCCUCCCCAACUGGAAGAGAAUCUUUUCCAAAUGCCUUCUCACGAAUGCGCAAAACCUUCAAAGCAAGUUGCUCUGCUUCUUCAUCCCGAUUUAAAUGGUAUAGAGUCACUGCAAGAUGUAACAUUGGGAAGGUGAUGGACUGAUCCUCAGGGCUUACAGUUUUCGCCAUGAUAUCCAAACUUAUCCUCAACAACCGCUCGGCCUCAACAAAAUUCUUGGACUGUGAAUAAGAGGUAGCAAGAUUUAGAAGGUGGGUAACUGAGCUGGGAUGAUCUUUUCCUUUGGAUCUUUCAGAGAUCAACAAGCAUUCCUCUAGCAGCUCUCGGCCUUCUUUUCCUCUCCCUACAACAUGAAGUAAUUCUGCCAAAUCAAUCCUCAUCUUCUCCAUGAUACUGUCAUCCAGAGCUAUAUAAUUUGUGUCCUUGAUGAGCUGAAGACCCUUUCCAUACAAGUCAAUAGCUUCUUCGACAUUCCCUGUUGAGCACUUCACAUGGGCUAGGGAACACAAAGCCACGCCAAUUCUUCCAUCAUUUUCUCCAUAUAACUUACUAUAUAUGCUCAAAAUUCUAGACAGAGACAAAAUAAAAAUGAAGUUAAUGAUCAUACCUAACCUCUAAUUAUUCAGCAAAGACAAAAAGAAAGUAUAGUAACCUAAUAAAAUGAAUUUCAGAAUCAGUAGUUCUUCCUUCCUUGAGCAAAAGAUUGCCUAGACCAAUUAAAGGGACCACCAAGUCUUCACUCUCUACACCUCUGCUUGAUUCUAAAAUAGUUAUUGCACGUUGGUAAAUCUCUAUGGCUUUUGUCACUCUUCCAAUUGAAACAAGAACUUUUGCCAUCCCCAAAAAUGGUGAGACAAGAAAAAUACUACUUUUCCCUGGAAAAACAAUGAACUAAGAUGAGCAUUGAGCUUUAGACUGGGACUUCCCUUGCUAAAUAAUUGAAAAAAUUUUCCAAAGAUCAAUUGAAGUACUGUGGUCAAACGUAAAGCAAUAUAAUGCGAAAACAACUAUUGAAAUCUACACAAAAAUUUCAUAUCAUUGUUAGUUUAGUCUCCAUUUUCAUUUACAUGAUUACAUUGUUCAGCUACAGUCAAUUUGAAAUUGCUGCAAAACUGCAGAAAACUUUAUAUUAUAGAUCAAGUCUAUAGUCAAAAGAAAAUUAGGACUCCAAGACGCAUUUUGUAUACAAACAGCAUAAAUGCAAGGAUAUGGAUCAGUUGCAGACAGGCAUUCUAACUUUUAGUUCCAGGAACGCCCAAUCUAAAAGGAAAUAAUGUGCUAUUGACCAAAAAGCAAGCUGGUUUAACUGCAAGAAAAUUUUUAAUUUCUUCAAUCUAGUAGGGGGAAAAAAAAGCUUUCCAGCUUCAACAUUAUCACUUUAGCACUGUAGCUUACCUGCUAGAAAAUUGUUAAGAAUAGAUUCUUAUAAUAUUAGUAAUAAGGUAGCCUGUCACAAUAACUGGUAUAACAAGUAGAGCUAGUCAAAGUUGAAAGACACCAGAAAAUUCAAGAUAUGAUAAAAUUCUAAUGCUACACCUACAAAGACAAAUAAA